This 504-nucleotide ribosomal RNA is filed under the name uncultured bacterium. RNAcentral's name for it is "bacterial SSU rRNA". It matches the Rfam family "Bacterial small subunit ribosomal RNA", at positions 8 to 526 of the family's 1533-position model. The record is from RNAcentral.
AGAGUUUGAUCAUGGCUCAGGACGAACGCUGGCGGCGUGCUUAACACAUGCAAGUCGAGCGGUAAGGCCCUUUCGGGGGUACACGAGCGGCGAACGGGUGAGUAACACGUGGGUGACCUGCCCUCAGCUCUGGGAUAAGCCCGGGAAACUGGGUCUAAUACUGGAUAUGACUCCAUGACGCAUGUUGUGGGGUGGAAAGCCUUGUGCGGCUGGGGAUGGGCCCGCGGCCUAUCAGCUUGUUGGUGGGGUGAUGGCCUACCAAGGCGACGACGGGUAGCCGGCCUGAGAGGGCGACCGGCCACACUGGGACUGAGACACGGCCCAGACUCCUACGGGAGGCAGCAGUGGGGAAUCUUGCGCAAUGGGCGAAAGCCUGACGCAGCGACGCCGCGUGAGGGAUGACGGCCUUCGGGUUGUAAACCUCUUUCAGCUCCGACGAAGCGGAAGUGACGGUAGGAGCAGAAGAAGCACCGGCCAACUACGUGCCAGCAGCGGCGGUAAUAC